Molecule: ribosomal RNA, 495 nt
Filed under: uncultured bacterium
Lineage: Bacteria
Description: partial 16S ribosomal RNA
Rfam family: Bacterial small subunit ribosomal RNA
Source: RNAcentral
GACGAACGCUGGCGGCGUGCCUAAUACAUGCAAGUAGAACGCUGAAGGAGGAGCUUGCUCUUCUGGAUGAGUUGCGAACGGGUGAGUAACGCGUAGGUAACCUGCCUGGUAGCGGGGGAUAACUAUUGGAAACGAUAGCUAAUACCGCAUAACAGUAGAUGUUGCAUGACAUUUGCUUAAAAGGUGCAAUUGCACCACUACCAGAUGGACCUGCGUUGUAUUAGCUAGUUGGUGGGGUAACGGCUCACCAAGGCGACGAUACAUAGCCGACCUGAGAGGGUGGUCGGCCACACUGGGACUGAGACACGGCCCAGACUCCUACGGGAGGCAGCAGGAGGGAAUCUUCGGCAAUGGACGGAAGUCUGACCGAGCAACGCCGCGUGAGUGAAGAAGGUUGUCGGAUCGUAAAGCUCUGUUGUAAGAGAAGAACGAGUGUGAGAGUGGAAAGUUCACACUGUGACGGUAUCUUACCAGAAAGGGACGGCUAACUACGUG